UUAUCAAAAACAUCGCCUCUUGCAAAAUUAACGAAUAAGAGGUCCUGCCUGCCCUGUGACCAUGAGUUCAACGGCCGCGGUAUUUUGACCGUGCAAAGGUAGCGCAAUCACUUGUCUUUUAAAUGAAGACCCGUAUGAAUGGCAAGACGAGGGCUUAGCUGUCUCCUUUCUCAAGUCAAUGAAAUUGAUCUUCCCGUGCAGAAGCGGGAAUUAUAACAUAAGACGAGAAGACCCUAUGGAGCUUUAGACACCAAGACAGACCACGUCAAAGCCCCCUAACCAAGGAACUGAACUAAGUGACCCCUGUCCUAAUGUCUUUGGUUGGGGCGACCACGGGGAAACACAAAACCCCCGCGUGGAAUGGGAGCACUACACUCCUACAACCAAGAGCUUCCGCUCUAAUAAACAGAAUUUCUGACCAACAAGAUCCGGCAACGCCGAUCAACGAACCGAGUUACCCUAGGGAUAACAGCGCAAUCCUCUUUUAGAGCCCAUAUCGACAAGAGGGUUUACGACCUCGAUGUUGGAUCAGGACAUCCUAAUGGUGCAGCCGCUAUUAAGGGUUCGUUUGUUCAACGAUUAAAGUCCUACAUGAUCUGAGUUUC
RNAcentral lists this ribosomal RNA (605 nucleotides) under Cynoscion arenarius (sand weakfish). RNAcentral describes it as "partial 16S ribosomal RNA". It matches the Rfam family "Bacterial large subunit ribosomal RNA", at positions 1804 to 2613 of the family's 2925-position model. The record is from RNAcentral. Lineage: Eukaryota; Metazoa; Chordata; Actinopteri; Sciaenidae.